GAUGUUUGUCGAUCGGUGGAAGGCUGAUCCAGCCAUCCAGCCCGUGUGAAGAAAGUCUUCGGUUUGUGAAGCACUUUACUUUUGGAGGAAAAGCUUUGUGCUAAUACGCGGAUGUUUGGACGUUACGAACGGACUAAGCACCGCCUACCUCGUUCCCACCGGCCGCGGUAAUACGGAGGGUGCAAGCGUUAACCGGAAUUACUGGGUGUAAAGCGUGCGUAGGUGGUUUAGUAAGAUAGUGGUGAAAUCCCAGGGCUUAACCAGGGAACUGCCAUUAUAACUGUUGAGCUUGAGUAAGGUAGCAGUGAGUGGAAUGUCUUGUGUAGCGGUGAAAUGCGUAGAUAUAGCAAAGAACACCAGUUGCGAAGGCGAAUACCUGGACCUAUAUUGACACUGAGGGGCGAAAGCGUGGGGAGCAAACA
RNAcentral lists this ribosomal RNA (422 nucleotides) under uncultured bacterium. RNAcentral describes it as "partial 16S ribosomal RNA". It matches the Rfam family "Bacterial small subunit ribosomal RNA", at positions 359 to 774 of the family's 1533-position model. The record is from RNAcentral.